Molecule: long non-coding RNA, 275 nt
Filed under: Nicotiana benthamiana
Lineage: Eukaryota; Viridiplantae; Streptophyta; Magnoliopsida; Solanales; Solanaceae
Description: long non-coding RNA (NBEN_LNC016861)
Source: RNAcentral
AGAAUUGCACAUACACAGAAGUAAAACAUAAUUGAGAGCAAAAGAGCAAGUAUGUUUUGCAAGAAAUAUAUGUGAGAUAUAAGUGUGCACACCUGAAGCUACUUGAAUGAGAUAGAAGAACUAGUUCCAUUGUGUUUAUUCAUAUUCUAGUUCAAUUGUAGUAGGUGUUUCAUAUUGUAAAUUUUAGCUUUUUUAGAAGCAAUUGUAUUAGGUACUUUGAGUAUUCAAUUUAGAGUUAACUUGAAGAUGUCGCAACAUUUGAGGCUAUGUGCCAC